GCGGGUGUAGCUCAGUGGCUAGAGCGUCACGUUGCCAACGUGAAUGUCGUCGGUUCGAAUCCGAUCACCCGCUC
RNAcentral lists this transfer RNA (74 nucleotides) under Mariniblastus fucicola. RNAcentral's name for it is "tRNA-Gly". It matches the Rfam family "tRNA". Rfam says of the family: Transfer RNA (tRNA) molecules are approximately 80 nucleotides in length. The record is from RNAcentral. Lineage: Bacteria; Pseudomonadati; Planctomycetota; Planctomycetia; Pirellulales; Pirellulaceae.